Syngnathoides biaculeatus (alligator pipefish) is the source of this 987-nucleotide long non-coding RNA. RefSeq lists it as uncharacterized. Lineage: Eukaryota; Metazoa; Chordata; Actinopteri; Syngnathiformes; Syngnathidae. The transcript has 3 exons. The record is from RefSeq and is a predicted model, not a curated record.
GAGUCUCGGAGCAGACCAACCCAAGAGUAACAAGUCUCUCUGAUCCUCGUCUCCUCCCCCCUGAGCUCCGUCUGCUCGCUCAGGAAGCUUUGUGGCUUGUUAGCACACGGGGAAUUUUGUAAGGAUAAUGAAAAGUCAGGAGAGGAUGUGAAGAAAGGCAACCGCUGCAGGGCUCAUUCUGGUCUGGACACGAUAGGAAAAGUCUUCUGAAUUUCCUCCCAUUUCCAUGCUAGGGUCGCAGCAGUACCAGAGCCUAUCCCAACUAACAUUGGGCAAAAGAUGGACUACACCCUGAACUGGUCGCCAGUCAGCUGCAGGGCACAUAUCAACACCAUCACUGAGCGAGAAUCGAUCCCAUACUGCCCGCACCAAAUUCAGUCUCCUUGUCUACUGUCUACUGCGGCAUACAGAUCAGCUCAACAGGUUCGGGGAAAAUAAAAGAGAUCCCACACUCUCAAUAAAUACUCUGAUGAAUACUCUUUAUAUACCAGAAGUACACAUACUCUCUUUGAGUGUGAGGUGCUUAUUGUCGGACUACUGACGUUUUGGCAUCACUCACCAUAAUAAACAACGUGAAAAGAUGAGAUUAACAGCUGAAUCUUCAUCGUCAACUCAAAAACUGUGCUGAUCGUCACUCCAAAGCGAUGCAACACUGCCAUCUACCGCCACGUGUUCAUUAUUACAGUUAGGUAAAGGGUUGAAAUUCACAGAAAACCAGGGCGAGACCCUCUUGAGGACUUGAGGAAUGUAUUCGCUGGUGGCAGUAAAUGGUUGGAACGACUUAAUGUGUGCAGAAUGUUUACAUGUUUUACCAUUUGAAGUUGGUCGUGACAAUUUUUGAAACCAAUCAGAGGGCGGAAAAAUGAUGACAUAAUCGAGGGCCACUCCUCCAGCCGUGCAACGACGAAUGUUUAAUCCGAAUGUUUAUAAAAAAAAUUUAAAAAACAGUUCCAUUGCUCAUACAUUGCACACAUGAGGACAGGGCAA